Molecule: long non-coding RNA, 519 nt
Organism: Thalassophryne amazonica
Lineage: Eukaryota; Metazoa; Chordata; Actinopteri; Batrachoidiformes; Batrachoididae
Exons: 3
Source: RefSeq, a predicted model, not a curated record
AAGAGUUUCUCAGUGAUUCCACUUCUAUUUCUAGACAUCUGUGCUGCUGCAGUAGGAUUCAUGAUAUUCUGUGUGAUGGAUUUAACUGUUUGGGGUGCAGCCUGGAUACGAACAGACGCAGGAAAAGCUAAAGCAGACACCUUCAGACGACUGAUGCAGGGAUCAUAGAUUUUGUUUUUUUCCCCCCCACAAUGUGAGGACGCAGCGGCUGAGGACCCAGACCUGUGGAGCGACUCUUCCACCCACAACCUGUCACUUUCAUCACCGUGCAUCCACGUCUUGCUCUUACAGACACCAUGAAAGGGAAUAACUGCUGUCCUGAACUUUGCCUCCUCCAUCCCUUUGGUUCUGGUUGGUCCCCAUUGAUGGCCUGCGUUGCACUUCCUGGAUUGCCUCUGCCUCCUUCCCUCAACCCCUCUGCUCGGAUCCUGUUUGCUGCCCUGGUUGCUGAUGUGCCCCACUGCCACCACUCUUUCCCCGUCUGGCACCAGAGUGUAGGUUCACCACCUGCCUUCUUCC